GGCUUAUUGAUAAAAGAUUUUAGGUCUAGCCUGCCCCCUGAUGUAUUUAAAUGGCCGCAGUAUUUUGACUGUGCUAAGGUAGCAUAAUAAUUAGUUUUUUAAUUGAAAGCUAGAAUGAAUGGUAUUAUGAAAAAAUUACUGUCUCUUUUAAAAAAUUAAAAUUUUAUUUUUAAGUUAAAAAGCUUAAAUAUAGUUAAAAGACGAGAAGACCCUAUAGAAUUUUAUUUAAAUUAAUUUUUAAUUGGUUAGUAUAUAGAAUUUAAAAAUAAAUUUAUAUUUAGUUGGGGUGAUUAGAAAAAUUAAGUAUCUUUUUUUUAUACUAACAUUAAUUUAUGGGUUUAUGAUUCACAUUAGUGAUUUAAGAGUAAAUUACCUUAGGGAUAACAGCGUAAUUUUUUUUUAGAGUUCUAAUCGAAAAAAAAGAUUGCGACCUCGAUGUUGGAUUAAAAUUUAUUUUUGGUGUAGUCGCUAAAGUAUUAAGUCUGUUCGACUUUGAAAAUUUUACA
RNAcentral lists this ribosomal RNA (506 nucleotides) under Plateumaris frosti. Its description in RNAcentral is "partial 16S ribosomal RNA". The stretch from base 380 to 506 matches the Rfam family "Bacterial large subunit ribosomal RNA", at positions 2473 to 2600 of the family's 2925-position model. The record is from RNAcentral. Lineage: Eukaryota; Metazoa; Arthropoda; Insecta; Coleoptera; Chrysomelidae.